UACGACCAUAUCACGUUGAAACACUGGUUCUCAUACAAUCACAGCGGUUAAGCAACGUCGAGACUGGUCAGGAUCUAGAUGGGUGACCGCUUGGGAAUACCAGAUGCUGUAAU
Molecule: non-coding RNA, 113 nt
Organism: Acanthosepion pharaonis
Lineage: Eukaryota; Metazoa; Mollusca; Cephalopoda; Sepiida; Sepiidae
Source: the annotation of a GenBank genome assembly